Molecule: long non-coding RNA, 1012 nt
Filed under: Piliocolobus tephrosceles (Ugandan red Colobus)
Lineage: Eukaryota; Metazoa; Chordata; Mammalia; Primates; Cercopithecidae
Description: lncRNA (ENSPTEG00000011302.1)
Source: RNAcentral
UCGACUAUUUUUAGUAAGAACAAUACACUAUAAAAAAAAUAAUCCUUUUUUAGUUUUUUUAAUUGGAAACGUUUGUAACUUGGCAUGUAUGUAUGUUAAUGCUGUACAUGAGUAUACCAGGGCUUAUAUAUUUUUAUUAGCAAUUAGGAAAAAAAAUCAAGACGCUUUAAACGGAGCUAAACUGGGAAAACAGGAAAAAUUAGAAAAAGGCGAAAUGCAAGAUAACUGCAUGUCGUCCGAUUGUAGCUCAGAUGACCACUAUGCUGACUAUUAUAAUCGGUGUGUUUUGUCGAAUGGACAGGAUUCUGCUGGAGAGAUCAUAAGGGGUACCAGUAUCAGUAGUAGUAUUGGUGGUAACGACAUAGACCGCAGAAAAGGCGAAAUUGAAAGCGAAAUCGAAAGCGAAAUCGAAAGCGAAAUCGAAAACGAAAUCGAAAGCGAAAUUGAAAGCGAAAUCGAAAGCGAAAUUGAAAGCGAAAUUGAAAGCGAAAUCGAAAGCGAAAUCGAAGGCAAAAACAAAAACAAAAACAACAAGAAGCAUAAGAACGCUCCCCAUAAAACAAAAACACUCGAUAGCAAUAACAAAAAAAAGAAUAAUGUAAAAAUAAUAAACAGGUUUGAUAAAAUAUCUGACAACUUAAACUUUUUAUUCAGCUUAAUGACGUCCUAUUUUACAUAUGCGAGUGGAUAUCAAGUUCAGAACCGAGAGUGUGUUAUUAUGACGUCGUUUUGUAUAUUAAAUGAAUAUAUAAACAAAAGAUAUGAAGAAAAAAUAAAAAAAAAAGAAAAAAAAUAUAAAAAAUAUUCUUUAUUUUAUGAUAUUUAUAAAUAUAUUUAUAUUGCUGAAAUAUUGUAUACUAUUGCUAGAGCAUUGCAUCAGUUAUCUUAUUACAACGAAGCAACGAAAUUAUAUAUGAAUGUCAUUAAAAUUUUAAAAAAAGCAGAUAAAGAAUUAAAAACAAUUAUAUAUACUAAUAAUUUAUUAAUUAAUGAAAAUUUUAUAUUUAAUUAU